This 437-nucleotide ribosomal RNA is filed under the name uncultured Oscillospiraceae bacterium. RNAcentral's name for it is "bacterial SSU rRNA". It matches the Rfam family "Bacterial small subunit ribosomal RNA", at positions 341 to 792 of the family's 1533-position model. Lineage: Bacteria; Bacillati; Bacillota; Clostridia; Eubacteriales; Oscillospiraceae. The record is from RNAcentral.
ACGGGAGGCAGCAGUGGGGAAUAUUGGGCAAUGGGCGAAAGCCUGACCCAGCGACGCCGCGUGAGGGAAGAAGGUCUUCGGAUUGUAAACCUCUUUCAGCAGGGAAGAAGCAAGUGACGGUACCUGCAGAAGAAGUCACGGCUAACUACGUGCCAGCAGCCGCGGUAAUACGUAGGUGGCGAGCGUGAUCCGGAAUUACUGGGUGUAAAGGGUGGGUAGGCGGAGGAGCAAGUCAGGAGUGAAAUUUCCGGGCUUAAGCCGGAAACUGCGCUUGAGACUGUUCCCCUUGAGAGUGGGAGAGGUAAACGGAAUUCCUGGUGUAGUGGUGAAAUGCGUAGAUAUCAGGAGGAACACCGGUGGCGAAGGCGGUUUACUGGACCGCAACUGACGCUGAGACACGAAAGCGUGGGGAGCAAACAGGAUUAGAUACCCUGGUA